UUCGUUACCGAUACUGACAGGGGAUCUGCUGCGGCCUCACAAUAAGAGCUGUGCCCACGUUCAGCUGUGUUCGCACGGUAUUCCUCGCAGAAAACGACAGCAACAGAGUUCAUGCAACUUAAAUAACUUUUUCCAAUGGACUGACUGCAGAAGGAAUGGCUGAGUUGUGUCUCUCUUGAUGAGCCUUUCUCUUUGAUCUAAACCCAAGGAAAUGGGUGUGGAAGAAAUGGAAUCUCAAAAGCUUUAAGGCUGCCACAGUAAAUCAGACAGUAAAGAUGCUACUGCUAACACACAAGCUGCUGCAUCUGCCAGUUCUGCAACAGCCACUCUCAUCCAGUUUUCCUGUGCUGUGCUGUAAUAUCACAGCAGACAUAAACAAGCUGCCAACCCUGUUUGCCACCUUGAACAGAGACAACAACCUAACUGGGACAGUGUGGUGUCCUUUGUAGCAACAGAAGUCACUGUGAGUGUGGGCAGAAACAGCUCCAGCUCCUCUGCUGCCCUGGUGUAAUGAGUCAGGUAAUUUAAAGCCACUGUGGGUGUGUGUUUGAUGUUUUAGCAGCGUGUACCAGGCUCAAACUUGUUUUUCUUACUUAUCAAAUAGGGCAUUGAAAAUGGCUUGCUUAAAGUUAUAUGAGAAAUCUGUAGCAGAGCCAGGUUUCAAAGGCCAGUAGAUGAGCCCUGAAAACUCAGCAGUGAGUAGCUGAUGACUAGAUUCUUGACCAUCCAAACUGGUGCUGUCCAAGGUAAUAGUGAGUUGUGUUUAUGCUUAGACAGCCAGUUGUAAUUGUAAAGAGACUUGGUCCUGAAUUCUAAUUAGAAUUAUACAAUGUAACAUUAUAAAAAACAUUUCUAGUGGUAUUAAAGAUAUUACUGGACUAGUUGGAAGAAUAGGGAAGUCAUUCUUCUGCUCUGCUCAGGACUGGUGACACCACACCUGGAGUGUUCAGUUUUGGGCUCCUUAGUUACAGGAGAGAUGUGGACAUACUGGAGAGAGUCCAGUGAAGGGUCACAAGGGUGAUUAAGGGACUGAUGCAUCUCCCCCAUGAGUGAAGUCGGGGAGCACUGGGACUGUUUAGCCUGGAGAAGAGAAGGC
Corapipo altera (White-ruffed manakin) is the source of this 1096-nucleotide long non-coding RNA. RefSeq lists it as uncharacterized. The record is from RefSeq and is a predicted model, not a curated record. The transcript has 4 exons. NCBI's taxonomy places the organism in Eukaryota, Metazoa, Chordata, Aves, Passeriformes, Pipridae.